UUUAGAGUUUGAUUCUGGCUCAGGACGAACGCUGGCGGCGUGCUUAACACAUGCAAGUCGAGCGGUAAGGCCUUUCGGGGUACACGAGCGGCGAACGGGUGAGUAACACGUGGGUGAUCUGCCCUGCACUUCGGGAUAAGCCUGGGAAACUGGGUCUAAUACCGGAUAUGACCUCNNAUNGCAUGNNGGGUGGUGGAAAGAUUUAUCGGUGCAGGAUGGGCCCGCGGCCUAUCAGCUUGUUGGUGGGGUAAUGGCCUACCAAGGCGACGACGGGUAGCCGACCUGAGAGGGUGACCGGCCACACUGGGACUGAGACACGGCCCAGACUCCUACGGGAGGCAGCAGUGGGGAAUAUUGCACAAUGGGCGAAAGCCUGAUGCAGCGACGCCGCGUGAGGGAUGACGGCCUUCGGGUUGUAAACCUCUUUCAGCAGGGACGAAGCGCAAGUGACGGUACCUGCAGAAGAAGCA
Molecule: ribosomal RNA, 470 nt
Filed under: bacterium PT19
Lineage: Bacteria
Description: bacterial SSU rRNA
Rfam family: Bacterial small subunit ribosomal RNA
Source: RNAcentral